RNAcentral lists this ribosomal RNA (491 nucleotides) under uncultured bacterium. RNAcentral's name for it is "partial 16S ribosomal RNA". It matches the Rfam family "Bacterial small subunit ribosomal RNA", at positions 28 to 507 of the family's 1533-position model. The record is from RNAcentral.
GACGAACGCUGGCGGCGUGCUUAACACAUGCAAGUCGAACGCUGAAGCUCAGCUUUUGUUGGGUGGACGAGUGGCGAACGGGUGAGUAACACGUGAGUAACCUGCCCCCUUCUUUGGGAUAACGCCCGGAAACGGGUGCUAAUACUGGUUAUUCCCUGGUCUUCGCCUGGGGGCUGGUGGAAAGGGCUUUUCUGGUGGGGGAUGUGCUCGCGGCCUAUCAGCUUGUUGGUGGGGUGAUGGCCUAACCAGGCAUUGACGCGUAGCCGUCCUGAGAGGGUGAGCGGCCACCCGGGAACUGAGACACGGUGCAGACGCCGAGGGGAGGCAGCGGUAGGGAAGCUGCCGCAAUGGGCGAAAGCGUGACGGAGUGACGCCGCGUGGGUGAGGAAGGGCUGGGGGUCGUAGGACUGUGAACCUCUGGCAGAAAAGAUGAAGAAGCAACAAUGGUUGUGGUGACGGUAGUGGGUCAGGAAGCGCCGGCUAACUACGUG